GGGGCCUGUUGCAAAGGUUGCUGCCCUGGGGUGUCUACUUGGUGAGUGGCUAAGUCGGUGUACCCUGGUUUCUGUGAGAAUAUUGCCUGUUUCUCUUGGAGCAGUUUGUGUAACUGCUCCCUCUCCACUGGGUUAAGUCGGUCCCCUAUCUGCACUUGGCUCACUAUAUCUGACGGGUCAUUCCGGGUCAACAAGUCGGGUAUGGGAAGACUAUCAGGGUCUUCGGUUGCGGGGCUACAUAUGGCCGAUACAUCUUCGGGUCAUUGAAGAUAUUCCUUUAACAUAUUCACGUGGAAUAUCUUCCUUAAGUUUUCAUCGUGACAGCUGGCAAUCACAAAGGUAGUGUCCCCUCUUUUCUCCACUACCUGGUAAGAUACCUGCCAGGCUGCUUGCAACUUGUCUGCUUUGAUGGGUUUAAGCAACAUCACUUUUUGUCCAAUAUAAAAACUCCUUUGUCCCGCCCCCUUGUCAUACCAGACCUUCUGUCGCUUCUGGGCUGCCUGGACCGACCGGGCUAGUUGCUCCAUGCGGUCCCUAAGCUCCAGUACAUAGGGCACGAUGGGGACUCCAGCAUUCUCCGUCUCACCCUCCCAGGGCUCACGGAUCAGGUUUAGGGGGCCCCGCACCUUACGCCCGAAGAGCAGUUCGAACAGAGAGAAUCCGGUUGUUUCCUGGGGCACCUCACGGUAUGCGAACAGGAGAUGCGGUAGGAAACGUUCCCAGUCUCUAUAUUCCUGGGUGAAGGUUUUUAACAUUUGUUUGAGGGUCCCAUUGAACCUCUCACAUAGCCCAUUAGUCUGAAGAUGAUACGGAGAGCUGAGUAGGGAUUUUAUUUUGCAGACAUGCCAUAGUUGUUGCGUUAGUUCAGCAGUGAACGGAGUACCUCUGUCAGAUAGAAUUUCCCUAGGGAAUCCUACCCGAAAGAAGACUUGUACUAAGGCAUUAGCUACGGUGUCCGCCUGAAUAUUGGAUAGAGCCACUGCCUCGGGAUAGCAGGUAGCGUAGUCCACCACGGUAAGAAUAUAUCUCUUUCCGGAUGGACUAGGGGUGGCGAGGGGCCCUACUAGGUCGAUAGCUACCCGGCUAAACGGUUCCUCUAUAAUGGGCAUGUUCAUGAGGUGCACCUUCGGGUGGUCUCCUCUCUUGCCUACCCUUUGGCAGACCUCACAUGUGUUGCAGUAUGAGCGCACAUCUGCAUGUACUCCGCCAAAAGAGGGUAUGGGUGAUCCGUUUGAGAGUACGGGUCACAGCUAAAUGUCCAGCUAACGGAAUGACAUGACCGACUGAGUAUAUCUCGUCUAUACUUGUGGGGAAUGACUAGCUGCCGCCUAUGGUUCCCUUUCUUUUCGGUGUGUCUGUAUAGUCUGCCCUGUUCCCAUGCGAACGUCUCUUGAUCUGAUCCCCCAGUCCCUGUAUCAGCUCUGUAUAUAGCUCCCUAUAAUUCUGAAGUGUCGGGUCGGUUUUAGUUUCAGCCUCAAAGACUGCAGGGGUAUCCCAGAGUAACGGGGACAGAUCGUUAGUCACAGUCGGGGGUAGUCUUACCUGAGUCUCCCGCACUGGUGAAGGGUCUCGAGUCCUUCCUGCUUGUGACCGGGUAGUGACAGGACACGCCUCCGAGUUGUAGGAAGGAGCAUAGGCAGAAGUCAUGGGUCCCAGGUCGUUGCCCAGUAAAACCUCUGCUGGCAAAUUAUCCAUGAUCCCCACCUUCACAAGACCUUUCCACGCACCCCAAUCCAAAUGUACUCGAGCCGUGGGUAGUUUGUAAAUGUCCCCUCCAGCCACCCUGACAGCAACGGUGUCCGUGGAGCGCUUGUGUGCUGGGACCAGUUGGCCUUGUACCAGGGUGAUAGUGGCCCCCGUGUCUCUCAACCCACUGUGUGGGGCGGCCCUCCAGCAAUACCUCCUGUCGGUUGUCAUUUGCGGCAUAUAUGGGGUUGGCUUCGUGCAAGGGUCCCAAAUAUUCCUCUAGGGGGCUUUCCUGUUCGACACAGAAAGCGCAUGCUGGGCGGUUAUUUACCGAGGGAGCUGCAUUGUAACUCCUCGAUGAGUAAUUGUUGUUGAGGGGGCAGUUAGCAAUGAGAUGCCCUGGCUGCUUGCAUUUGUAGCAGGUGGGGCAGGAGCGUUCCUGUGUGUAAUGGCUGGGUGGUCCAGCGUAUCGGGUAGGUCCCGCCGGCACAGGCGUACGAAACUCAGUUUGUGGGUUUGGUCGGUGCGAGUGGC
This is a non-coding RNA of Pelobates cultripes (western spadefoot toad), 2220 nucleotides long. NCBI's taxonomy places the organism in Eukaryota, Metazoa, Chordata, Amphibia, Anura, Pelobatidae. The record is from the annotation of a GenBank genome assembly.